Molecule: long non-coding RNA, 4189 nt
Organism: Ahaetulla prasina
Lineage: Eukaryota; Metazoa; Chordata; Lepidosauria; Squamata; Colubridae
Exons: 3
Source: RefSeq, a predicted model, not a curated record
GCAAGUCAGAAUCCGGAGCGCCUCUUAGCCGUCCAUAAAAGUGGCUCGCAAAUCUCCGAAUCAAAUUAUAAAUGGGACUUUCAGGCCCAUGUGAUCUGAACAGAGGAUGGACCAGAAAAAAAUAAACUCCCUGGAAGAAGAAGUAAAAGAAGGAAAGACAAUGGGUGAUAAAAUGGAUUGAAGAAACUUUCUCCAAGAAAAUCAUCCAUCCACUUCACAAAAUAGAAGAAAAACAGCGAUAAAGGAAAGAGAGAAUUCUUACAAGUUUACUUUGGAUUAAUAAAUUACAUGGCACUUUGGAAAAAUAAUGGAUUUUAGAAAAGGACAGAGCGUGAAAACAAUCCAUAUAGUAAAACAUCUUCUCUCUCACCACAGUGUAAAAUAAUCCCCCUCCAAUGUAAAAACUGUAAAGGUCCAUUUGGCAGACCCUAAGCGGUGGACCUUUUCUGAUGUGAUGCCUAAAUACUGUGGAAUCUUUUCCACCCUAAGGUGUGGCUGGCCUCAUUGCUGUUGAAUUUUUGGAGGUCCCCCAAGACUCGGUUAAGCCAGCAUGAACCCCAGGGGAUAUGUGAACUAGUGAGGUGGCUCCACUUCAUUUAACAUCCCUUCAUCUAUUAUUCAAUGUUUUAGUUUGGUUUUUAUGCUUUAUUUAUUAUUUAUUACCGGUAAUUCUUUUAGUUCUCUUGUACGCUGCCCAGAGUCACUUGUUUAUGAGAUUGUCCCAAAAGUGCAUUUUCAAGAGACAACUGGACUUUCUGGUUUUUCUUUGAAGACUGUUUCACUUCUCAUCCAAGAAGCUUCUUCAGCUCUGACUGGACGGUGGGGAAUGGAAGGAUUUAUACUCCUUGAAGACAGCUGGUCAUUUGCAUUAUUUUAGCGCAGGGAUGUCAAACUCCCAGGGCCAAGGGCCGGAUGCGUCAGGUGCUGGCCAUGCUCAUAUCUGGUUUAGCGAAGGGGGGAAAAGUCCUGAUACAUCACGAGAUGCCGCCGUGACAAUGUGAGCUUGACAUCCCUGUUUUAGUGAGUCAUUAAGGCCACCUGGAGGUUUACCUGUGUCAUCAGGGUCACCCGAGUGGUUGUUUCUGAUAGCUAUACAAAUUGGUUUAAUAACUAAAUAAAAAGGAAGAAACAGCAACAGUUCAAGAACUGUUAGCCUUCAGAAACCCACUCAAAUAAAAAAUUUUCCAGGCUUCCCAAUUGCCAGCAACAAAAGACACAUGUGUGCACUUGGAGACAAAGUGUCCAAAUAUAUUGGGGCUAUAAUAGAGGUCUGUCUUUUGAAGGAUGGAAUGCGACCAUACUCUCUUGAGAUCAUCUGGCAGGAUGAAUCAAUAUAAGGCAGGGGUCCCCAACCCCUGGUCCAUGGCCCACUAGUGGACCAUGGCCUAUUUGUAACCAGACUGUGGAUCAUUGCACACACAUGCACGCACAGCUUGACUCCUGCGAGCAGCAGGCCAGCAUGCAUGUGCAUGCGGGUGCAGCUCUAUUAGCAGUCCAGCUGCCUGUGCUUGCGUGGGUACGCUGACCCACUGCUCACGCAAGUUAAGCUGCAUGUAUUCCUGCCCACCACUAAUGUGGCCUAGUUCCCCUCUCCCAGCUGGGCCACCAAGCUGCAAAAUUUGGUGAGGGCUGAUAUAAGGAACUGUGGUGGUGCAGUGGUUAGAAUGCAGUAUUGCAGGCUAAUUCUGCCCACAGUCUGGAGUUCGAUUUUGACUGAUUCAAGGUUGACUAAACCUUCAUUCCUUCCAAGGUCAAUAAAAUGAAGAGCCAGAUUAUUGGCUGCAAUAUGCUGACAUUGUAAACUGCUCAGAAAGUGUUGUAAUGCACUAUGGAACAUUAUAUAAUAGCAAAUGCUAUCGCUAGGUGCUAUGGGCAUAAUCAUUUUUGAGAAGGUAGCCUUAAUGUAACUCUAUUUAGAGCAGACUUGUUGAAAACCAUGGGAUUUCAAUAGACCUUAUGCUUAAUUUUAUCUAAAUUUCACCAUCAUUAUUUUACACUAUUUUCCUGAGCUAUUCUAGCCAGUUUAUUUAUUCAUUAGAUUUAUAACCUAUAUCUCUCCAAUCAAAAAGAGCAUUUAAUAAGAAAAAAGUCAAACAUAAAAUCAAAUUAAACAUCUAAAGAAAAGACAUUUCUUUAACAUCUAAUUAAAGAGCAAGAAGUUUAAAAAUGGAACUAUUCAAAAUGCUCAACUGAAUUACAUACCAAAAUAAUUCUUUUAAAAACCCACAGAGAAUAAGGUUCUGAAAUGACUUUUUCUGCAGUUUGGGAAUAGCUAAGAAUAGGCUAAUGUAGUACAAUCUUUCAAAAUAUUUUUGAAAUUCAUUAAAAAAACAGCUGAGUUUUCAGAUUUAAAACCAUAGAUAUAGAAAUCCUAUAUUUCUCCAAUAGCAUUAGUAUCAGAACUUAUAAUAUGAAUAUUAUUUUUUAUUAUUUAUUAUUAUUAUUUAUUAAAUUUUUAUACCGCCCUUCUCCCGAGGGACUCAGGGCGGUGUACAGCCAAAAGGUAAAAAAUAUAAAAAAUAUACAAUUAAAACAACAAUUUAAAACCGAGCAAAUUAGAAAAAAUGGCCAAUAUUUAAAAUUUAAAAUUUAAAAUUUCAAACCCUAAAAUGAUAAAACCCCAGUUAAAAAUUUAAAAAUAUUAGGCCAGUCCCGCUUGAAUAAAUAAAUGUGUUUUCAGCUCACGGCGAAAGGCCCGAAGAUCAGGCACUUGACGUAAUCCAGGGGGAAGUUCGUUCCAGAGCGUAGGAGCUCCCACCGAGAAGGCCCUGCCCCUGGGGGCCGCCAGCCGACAUUGUUUGGCGGACGGCACCCUGAGAAGACCCUCUCUGUGUGAGCGUACGGGUCGGUGGGAGGCAUAAGGUAGCAGCAGGUGGUCCCGUAAGUACCCGGGCCCUAAGCCAUGGAGCGCUUUGAAGGUGGUGACCAGGAUCUUAAAGCGUACCCGAAAGACUACAGGAAGCCAGUGCAAGCCGCGCAGGAUUGGUGUUACAUGGGAGCAACAAGUUGUUUAAAUGUUUGAUAUGUUUGAUAUGUUUAAAUAACUUUCUUCUGAACAUUAUCACAAGUGAAAUCAAACCUAUAUGGCAGGGGUAGGUCAGUUGUGGGUUGCUCCCGGUUUUCUCCAGUUCUUGUGAACUGGUAGUAAAAGCGGCAGAAGGCUCCACCCACCUGUCCUGACAUCAUAUUUGGUGAUAGCCCAUGCAUGUGAGCGAAGUGAGUGUGCACGCAUGCUCCCGUUGCAAACCGGUGAGCAAACUUGUAGGGUGGGUUCUACUCACCUUUACUACCAGUUCACAAUGGGAGCACGUAUGCGCACUCACUUUGCUCAUGCACAUGCACAGAUCGCCAAAUAUGACAUCAGGGCGGGUAGGUGGAGCCUCCUGCUGCUGUUACUACCGGUUCACAAGAACCAGAGAGAACCGGGACCACAAUCCACCACUGAUAUAUGGACAAUACUUGCUUGACAAAAACUGUGCAAAUAAGGAACUUGCAAAGUUGAAUUUGAUUCCAAAAAUACAGGAGGAUAACAUAGCCCUGUAAUCAGUGGUGGGAUUCAGCCAGUUCGCACCACUUCGGGAGAACCGGUUGUUAACUUUCUGAGCAGUUUGGCGAACUGCUUGUUGAAAGAAAUCAUUAGGACAGAGAACCAGUUGUUAAAUUAUUUGAAUCCUACCACUGCCUGUAAUGUAUGAAUUGAUAAUAGCAUGAUUACUUUUGUUGCAUGCCAAAUAUUUUGUAUUUCAAAAACUAUAGGUCGGCUCAUACUCAGAGCUAUUCUGUUUUGGGGGAUACUUAAGUCUAAAUGUUUCUCACUAUAGAAAUGAUUUUUUAAAAUUCAGUAUUUUGAGAUAGGCAUGCAAUAAAUGAUUCUGGGAAAUCAGCAGUGCCUAUUCUGGUGUUGUAUUACACUAUUUAAGAUAAAUAACUAUUAAGUCAUACCAUGCAGAUUUGUACCUACCCUUUGCACUAAUUAAGCAACUACAAACAUAUUUACCAUUAUUAGGUGAAUAUAAUAUACUGUAAUUACUAAAAAUAAUUAUUACGUUCUAUUGCUAAUGAUUUUACAUCAGCUGAUUAUGAGAAAAUGUAUGGCCAGAGUAUUUCUAAUACUCAUAAUGAUAAUUGUUUGUGCCCCCAGCCCCUACCCAAUAUAAACCCCCCACCCCAUCUUUUUAUUGCAUUUUUU